RNAcentral lists this long non-coding RNA (476 nucleotides) under Dasypus novemcinctus (nine-banded armadillo). RNAcentral's name for it is "lncRNA (ENSDNOG00000052705.1)". Lineage: Eukaryota; Metazoa; Chordata; Mammalia; Cingulata; Dasypodidae. The record is from RNAcentral.
UUUAAAAUAUUGAUCUGGCCUAUGGCCUUUUGCUUCAGGAGAAAUUGGCCCCACCCUCCCCUCCAAUGCUGGGCUGAAAUUGUCUAAUGGGAUUACCAGGUUUAAAAAUGAGCAUGACAUGGAAUGAAAUGGAAACAAUUGGAAGUUGGCUGGAGUGCUUCUGGAAAAAAUUUGCAGGCUCUUAAAAGAGAAUCCCAUGAGGAAUGAGCUGCUUCUUCCUUUGGACUUCAUUUUGUCUGGAUGUGAUAUGAGGCAUUGCAGCAGGAGUUACCACCAGCCUGAGGGAAAAACUACAUAUGAGAAUGGCAGAGAAAUGGAAAGCAGAUGCCUGAGGAUGCCACUGAGUGAGACAACCAACCUUGAGGAAUCUUGUUGCACAAGUUUACACACAUGGUUGAAGCAUGUUAUGAUGUACUUCAAGAUCCCAUUUUCAAAAGGUAUGUAAUAUUUAAAAUUGGUGUUUAGCACUUCCACGA